ACUUGAGUAAGUAUUGGGAGUUCAGGACCAGUUUAACAUUCGAGGACGAAUGUUCUAAAGGGGGGAAGAAUGUUAUACCCCGUAUUUUUAUACGUCAAAUUAUUCAUAAGUUAAUCGACAUAAGUUAAGGACGGGAUUAUUUUGGGAUAUGUAAUAGGAACUUUUAAUUCUCAAUUUUAAUGAGUGCACGAGUGUUUAUAAGUUUCAACUAGUAUGAAAAUAUUAGUGGAGAUUAGAGAUUUAUUUAACUAUGAUUAAGUUAUUAAGUGGCACAUAUUGAUUAAUUAAAGUUAACCAAGUAAAUUAGUGGGACAUGUGUCAAUGUUAUGGGCUACAUAUAUAUGGUCAUAAGAUGACUCAUAAUACACCAUUUCAUUCACAAAAUUCAUCCAUCAAAAUAGAGUUAGUGAGAGAAGCUCUCAAACUAGAGAGAGAGAGAGAGAAGUUCGGUCACUGUUCACGACGCCGGAACUGUUCACGGCGGCUACUGUUCACGCCGGAACUGUUCACGACGGCGGAACUGUUCACGACACACUGUUCACGGCGUCACUAUUUACGGCCAAGAGGAGAAAAAUCCAACCCCAUUUCUAGCCUUCCCAAAAAUAAUUCCUUGGUGUUAACCCACUAUUUGGAGGUCCCUAAGUAGCGUGGAAGCAUUAUUGGAGCGAUCAAACCAUCCAUUUUUGUAAAUCGCAAACCCUAACUUUCUUGUGGAGUAAAGAACAAAGACCUUGAGGAGCCCGAGGCGUAGAUUGGGAUUAACUUUAGAUCGGCUAGCUUGGAGUGCGUACGAGGUACAGACGCACAGUUUGGUGAUCUACCCAUUUAGGACAUCCUCUUCUGCUGUUUGGAGUGCUCUUCUCAUUUCAGAGCACACAUUUUGGUAUACAUUUGUUCGCUAUGUAUAUAUGUAUUUGUUCAGGGGUACGGCGGGGCCCUGUCCCGUCAUAUGAUUCUGUCGGUCUGUUUAGAGGUCUGUGGACAUGUUUGUGGGUUAGGGUCUUUCUGUAUGGAUGUAUGUACAUGUCGUUUGGGCGAUCCCAUACGCCGAGGCGGCCGGUCCGCAUAUGUUGUUUGGGCGAUCCUAUACGCUGAGGCGGCCGGUCCGCAUAUGUUUAUAUAUUGCUUGGUUAGCCCUGUGUGGCUUUUGUUGGUAUUUUCUGCGUGCAGGGUAUAUUGGAUAGUCCGUAAAACAAAGGAAACUCUGCCGAAAUUUUUCUGGAAAUUACCUAAAUCUGAAAUAAAGCCUUGUCGGCGUACAUAUAUAUCUGCAUACGGUUGCGUUGAGAUGUGUUUGAACAGUUUGAUAUAGUUUGAGACGGCAUAUAGUAAUUAUGGCCGUAUAUGCUAUCUGUUUGUGAUUUGAUUUGGAUAAGUGUGUUACGAUUUGAUAUGUUUGUCUGUCUGGGUGUCCAAGUAGGGCACCAGUCGCGGCC
Long non-coding RNA from Lycium barbarum (goji berry), 1436 nucleotides. RefSeq lists it as uncharacterized. The transcript is spliced from 3 exons. NCBI's taxonomy places the organism in Eukaryota, Viridiplantae, Streptophyta, Magnoliopsida, Solanales, Solanaceae. The record is from RefSeq and is a predicted model, not a curated record.